GGGGCUGUGGCUCAGUGGUAGAGUGCUUGCCUAGCAUGCAUGAGGCACUAGGUUUGAUCCCCAGCACCA
RNAcentral lists this transfer RNA (69 nucleotides) under Urocitellus parryii (Arctic ground squirrel). RNAcentral describes it as "Spermophilus parryii (Arctic ground squirrel) tRNA". It matches the Rfam family "tRNA". From Rfam's summary of the family: Transfer RNA (tRNA) molecules are approximately 80 nucleotides in length. Their secondary structure includes four short double-helical elements and three loops (D, anti-codon, and T loops). Further hydrogen bonds mediate the characteristic L-shaped molecular structure. tRNAs have two regions of fundamental functional importance: the anti-codon, which is responsible for specific mRNA codon recognition, and the 3' end, to which the tRNAs corresponding amino acid is attached (by aminoacyl-tRNA synthetases). tRNAs cope with the degeneracy of the genetic code in two manners: having more than one tRNA (with a specific anti-codon) for a particular amino acid; and 'wobble' base-pairing, i.e. permitting non-standard base-pairing at the 3rd anti-codon position. RNAcentral also lists the same sequence under 2 other names. Lineage: Eukaryota; Metazoa; Chordata; Mammalia; Rodentia; Sciuridae. The record is from Rfam by way of RNAcentral.